This is a long non-coding RNA of Manacus vitellinus (golden-collared manakin), 590 nucleotides long. RefSeq lists it as uncharacterized. NCBI's taxonomy places the organism in Eukaryota, Metazoa, Chordata, Aves, Passeriformes, Pipridae. The transcript has 3 exons. The record is from RefSeq and is a predicted model, not a curated record.
AAACAAGAUUUCUGGAAGCCAUCUGCCAAACAUCACAGUGGAGUGUGGGAGGGAAAGAGCAAGUGAAAGUGAACUACAUGAAAUAUGGGGGGGAAGAGACUAAGGACUAUGGGGAUGUUGUGAAGUUGAACCAGUGUAGCCCGGCUUACUGCAGAGGAAGCAGGACUUGUGGAAGCUCCUUCCAUUGCACUGGAUUUCCUCAGCGUGGUACACGGUCUUUUCACAGGCACCACAUUUGGCUCCACCCCCCCAGUUUGGCAUCCCUGUCUCUGAGAGAAUGAAAUGAACAAUGUCUACAUGCCAGCUCUGCAGCCUGAAGGGAAUUCUUUCUGACGACUAACACCAAAAAUCCUACAAUGGUAUAAGAAUCUGUCCAGCAAAAGGAAGGUGUCAUGAGAGUGUGUGCACACACUGAAGCCACAGCACUGGAGACAUGGCAAUGUGAGCAGGUUUUACAGUCAGUGUUUGAUAACAGUGCAGGUACCAGCACAUCCAAACCUCUCUGCUUUAGCACAGCAAUGAUUAGUAUCUCUUUAACCCCGUGUAAUUAAAUAGUCACUAUUGUGACUGGUGCCUGUGGUAGACAGCAC